GUGGGGAAUAUUGGACAAUGGGCGAAAGCCUGAUCCAGCCAUGCCGCGUGUGUGAAGAAGGUCUUCGGAUUGUAAAGCACUUUAAGUUGGGAGGAAGGGCAGUAAGUUAAUACCUUGUUGUUUUGACGUUACCAACAGAAUAAGCACCGGCUAACUUCGUGCCAGCAGCCGCGGUAAUACGAAGGGUGCAAGCGUUAAUCGGAAUUACUGGGCGUAAAGCGCGCGUAGGUGGUUCAGCAAGUUGGAGGUGAAAUCCCCGGGCUCAACCUGGGAACUGCCUCCAAAACUACUGAGCUAGAGUACGGUAGAGGGUAGUGGAAUUUCCUGUGUAGCGGUGAAAUGCGUAGAUAUAGGAAGGAACACCAGUGGCGAAGGCGACUACCUGGACUGAUACUGACACUGAGGUGCGAAAGCGUGGGGAGCAAACAGGAUUAGAUACCCUAGUAGUCC
RNAcentral lists this ribosomal RNA (450 nucleotides) under uncultured bacterium. RNAcentral's name for it is "partial 16S ribosomal RNA". It matches the Rfam family "Bacterial small subunit ribosomal RNA", at positions 354 to 796 of the family's 1533-position model. The record is from RNAcentral.